AAUUUGCAGAGGACGCUUCGGGUUCGGCUCCGGUCUAAGUCCUUGGAACAGGACGUCGCAGAGGGUGAGAAUCCCGUAUGUGACCGGCCGUCGGGCCCGUGUGAAGCGCCUUUGACGAGUCGAGUUGUUUGGGAAUGCAGCUCAAAAUGGGUGGUAAAUUUCAUCUAAAGCUAAAUAUCGGCCAGAGACCGAUAGCGCACAAGUAGAGUGAUCGAAAGAUGAAAAGCACUUUGGAAAGAGAGUCAAACAGUACGUGAAAUUGUUGAAAGGGAAGCGCUUGCAACCAGACUUGCCCACGGGUGAUCAGCCGGUAUUCUUACCGGUGCACUUGCCCGUGGUCAGGCCAGCAUCGGUUUGGGCGGCUGGAGAAAGUCCACCGGAACGUGGCUCCUCUCGGGGAGUGUUAUAGCCGGAGGCGUCAUGCAGCCUGCCUGGACCGAGGAUCGCGCUUCGGCUAGGAUGCUGGCGUAAUGGUUGCAAGCGACCCGUCUUGAAACACGGACCAAGGAGUCUAACAUCUAUGCGAGUGUUUGGGUGUCAAACCCGUGCGCGUAAUGAAAGUGAACGGAGGUGGGAACCCUCAAGGGCGCACCAUCGACCGAUCCUGAUGUCCUCGGAUGGAUUUGAGUAGGAGCAUAGCUGUUGGGACCCGAAAGAUGGUGAACUAUGCCUGAA
RNAcentral lists this ribosomal RNA (675 nucleotides) under Acarospora radicata. RNAcentral's name for it is "partial large subunit ribosomal RNA". It matches the Rfam family "Eukaryotic large subunit ribosomal RNA", at positions 147 to 841 of the family's 3401-position model. The record is from RNAcentral. Lineage: Eukaryota; Fungi; Ascomycota; Lecanoromycetes; Acarosporales; Acarosporaceae.